UCACUACCCGCGAGUAGCACUAUGGAAACCGCAUGGUAUCCAGUAGUGAAAGCGCGGCUUUUGCAUGUCACUUAUAGAUGCAUCCGCCACCGUAGUCAGUUAGUUGGCUAAUGUAGCUGCUACCAAGGCAUCGAUACGUAGCCGAGCUGAGAGGGUGAUCGCCCCCACUGAACUGAGACACGAUCAGACUCCUACGGGAGGCAGCAGUAGGGAAUCUUCCGCAAUGGGCGAAAGCCUGACGGAGCAACGCCGCGUGAGUGAUGAAGGUCUUCGGAUCGUAAAACUCUGUUAUCAGGGAAGAACAAAUGUGUAAGUAACUGUGCACAUCUUGACGGUACCUGAUCAGAAAGCCACGGCUAACUACGUGCCAGCAGCCGCGGUAAUACGUAGGUGGCAAGCGUUAUCCGGAAUUAUUGGGCGUAAAGCGCGCGUAGGCGGUUUUUUAAGUCUGAUGUGAAAGCCCACGGCUCAACCGUGGAGGGUCAUUGGAAACUGGAAAACUUGAGUGCAGAAGAGGAAAGUGGAAUUCCAUGUGUAGCGGUGAAAUGCGCAGAGAUAUGGAGGAACACCAGUGGCGAAGGCGACUUUCUGGUCUAUAACUGACGCUGAUGUGCGAAAGCGUGGGGAUCAAACAGGAUUAGAUACCCUGGUAGUCCACGCCGUAAACGAUGAGUGCUAAGUGUUAGGGGGUUUCCGCCCCUUAGUGCUGCAGCUAACGCAUUAAGCACUCCGCCUGGGGAGUACGACCGCAAGGUUGAAACUCAAAGGAAUUGACGGGGACCCGCACAAGCGGUGGAGCAUGUGGUUUAAUUCGAAGCAACGCGAAGAACGUUACCAAAUCUUGACAUCCUUUGACCGCUCUAGAGAUAGAGUCUUCCCCUUCGGGGGACAAAGUGACAGGUGGUGCAUGGUUGUCGUCAGCUCGUGUCGUGAGAUGUUGGGUUAAGUCCCGCAACGAGCGCAACCCUUAAGCUUAGUUGCCAUCAUUAAGUUGGGCACUCUAAGUUGACUGCCGGUGACAAACCGGAGGAAGGUGGGGAUGACCUCAAAAUCAUCAUGCCCCUUAUGAUCUGGGCCAACCCCGUUUUUUAAAUGGACAAUAAAAAGGGCCGCCCAACCGCCAGGGCAAGCCAAUCCCAUAAAGUUGUUCUCACUUCAGAUUGUAGUUCGGCACCACACCACCGGAACCUUGAAAUCCCUAGAGUUCUAGAACAACCUGGCAGGAUGAAGGUUUUGCCGGGCCUGGCCCACCCCCCCGGACAC
This 1263-nucleotide ribosomal RNA is filed under the name Staphylococcus warneri. Its description in RNAcentral is "bacterial SSU rRNA". It matches the Rfam family "Bacterial small subunit ribosomal RNA", at positions 160 to 1400 of the family's 1533-position model. The record is from RNAcentral. Lineage: Bacteria; Bacillati; Bacillota; Bacilli; Caryophanales; Staphylococcaceae.